RNAcentral lists this ribosomal RNA (958 nucleotides) under Escherichia coli. Its description in RNAcentral is "partial 23S ribosomal RNA". It matches the Rfam family "Bacterial large subunit ribosomal RNA", at positions 928 to 1869 of the family's 2925-position model. The record is from RNAcentral. Lineage: Bacteria; Pseudomonadati; Pseudomonadota; Gammaproteobacteria; Enterobacterales; Enterobacteriaceae.
AUCCCGACUUACCAACCCGAUGCAAACUACGAAUACCGGAGAAUGUUAUCACGGGAGACACACGGCGGGUGCUAACGUCCGUCGUGAAGAGGGAAACAACCCAGACCGCCAGCUAAGGUCCCAAAGUCAUGGUUAAGUGGGAAACGAUGUGGGAAGGCCCAGACAGCCAGGAUGUUGGCUUAGAAGCAGCCAUCAUUUAAAGAAAGCGUAAUAGCUCACUGGUCGAGUCGGCCUGCGCGGAAGAUGUAACGGGGCUAAACCAUGCACCGAAGCUGCGGCAGCGACGCUGAUGCGUUGUUGGGUAGGGGAGCGUUCUGUAAGCCUGCGAAGGUGUGCUGUGAGGCAUGCUGGAGGUAUCAGAAGUGCGAAUGCUGACAUAAGUAACGAUAAAGCGGGUGAAAAGCCCGCUCGCCGGAAGACCAAGGGUUCCUGUCCAACGUUAAUCGGGGCAGGGUGAGUCGACCCCUAAGGCGAGGCCGAAAGGCGUAGUCGAUGGGAAACAGGUUAAUAUUCCUGUACUUGGUGUUACUGCGAAGGGGGGACGGAGAAGGCUAUGUUGGCCGGGCGACGGUUGUCCCGGUUUAAGCGUGUAGGCUGGUUUUCCAGGCAAAUCCGGAAAAUCAAGGCUGAGGCGUGAUGACGAGGCACUACGGUGCUGAAGCAACAAAUGCCCUGCUUCCAGGAAAAGCCUCUAAGCAUCAGGUAACAUCAAAUCGUACCCCAAACCGACACAGGUGGUCAGGUAGAGAAUACCAAGGCGCUUGAGAGAACUCGGGUGAAGGAACUAGGCAAAAUGGUGCCGUAACUUCGGGAGAAGGCACGCUGAUAUGUAGGUGAAGUCCCUCGCGGAUGGAGCUGAAAUCAGUCGAAGAUACCAGCUGGCUGCAACUGUUUAUUAAAAACACAGCACUGUGCAAACACGAAAGUGGACGUAUACGGUGUGACGCCUGCCCGGUGC